RNAcentral lists this ribosomal RNA (295 nucleotides) under uncultured Streptococcus sp. Its description in RNAcentral is "partial 16S ribosomal RNA". It matches the Rfam family "Bacterial small subunit ribosomal RNA", at positions 1084 to 1382 of the family's 1533-position model. Lineage: Bacteria; Bacillati; Bacillota; Bacilli; Lactobacillales; Streptococcaceae. The record is from RNAcentral.
GUCCCGCAACGAGCGCCAACCCCUAUUGUUAGUUGCCAUCAUUCAGUUGGGCACUCUAGCGAGGCUGCCGGUAAUAACCGGAGGAAGUGGGAUGACGUCAAAUCAUCAUGCCCCUUAUGACCUGGGCUACACACGUGCUACAAUGGUUGGUACAACGAGUUGCGAGUCGGUGACGGCGAGCUAAUCUCUUAAAGCCAAUCUCAGUUCGGAUUGUAGGCUGCAACUCGCCUACAUGAAGUCGGAAUCGCUAGUAAUCGCGGAUCAGCACGCCGCGGUGAAUACGUUCCCGGGCCUU